GAGGAUUAUAAACAAGAACAACUAAGCUUUUCCCAUGAGAAAGGCCUACUUCAGAUGGAGGACAAUAACUUAUAUUCAGAAGAAGACACUGUUCAAACUUUGUUACUGGGCUGGAACACCCGGAAUUUGUUGCUGACUCUGCCAGGCAAGCAAGUGAAGAUUCCACCACCUUUUCUGCCUCUGCAUAACCUAUCGAUAGCCGUUUGGCGUAAUCAUUGGCCACGUGUUGUUGUUCUGUUCCACUGACUGCAUCAUGGUGCUGAGCAAUUGCUAAAGCGGCAGCCAGGCAAUUGGAAUUUCUCAAAGGAAGGACCAGUUCAGGGCC
RNAcentral lists this unclassified non-coding RNA (325 nucleotides) under Hevea brasiliensis (rubber tree). The record is from RNAcentral. Lineage: Eukaryota; Viridiplantae; Streptophyta; Magnoliopsida; Malpighiales; Euphorbiaceae.